UUAAAUAAUUUAUAUUUUUACUCAGACUGCAAUCUUCAGACAGAGUUCUAGGUGUCUUCGGCGGGCGCGGGCCCGGAGGCAGAAGCCUCCCGGCGGCCAUACGGCGGGCCCGCCGAAGCAACAAGGUAUAAUAAACACGGGUGGGAGGUUGGACCCAGAGGGCCCUCACUCGGUAAUGAUCCUUCCGCAGGUUCACCUACGGAAA
RNAcentral lists this unclassified non-coding RNA (205 nucleotides) under uncultured fungus. RNAcentral's name for it is "sequence contains ITS1, 5.8S rRNA gene". The record is from RNAcentral. Lineage: Eukaryota; Fungi.